This 493-nucleotide ribosomal RNA is filed under the name uncultured bacterium. RNAcentral describes it as "bacterial SSU rRNA". It matches the Rfam family "Bacterial small subunit ribosomal RNA", at positions 29 to 512 of the family's 1533-position model. The record is from RNAcentral.
AGUGAACGCUGGCGGCAGGCCUAAUACAUGCAAGUCGAACGGCAGCACAGCAGAGCUUGCUCUGUGGGUGGCGAGUGGCGGACGGGUGAGGAAUACAUGGGAAUCUGCCCAGUCGUGGGGGAUAACGUAUGGAAACGUACGCUAAUACCGCAUGCGCCCUACGGGGGAAAGGUCGGGGACCGCAAGGCCUGGCGCGAUUGGAUGAGCCCAUGUUCGAUUAGCUAGUUGGCGGGGUAAAGGCCCACCAAGGCGACGAUCGAUAGCUGGUCUGAGAGGAUGAUCAGCCACACUGGAACUGAGACACGGUCCAGACUCCUACGGGAGGCAGCAGUAGGGAAUAUUGGACAAUGGGGGCGAACCCUGAUCCAGCCAUGCCGCGUGAGUGAAGAAGGCCCUCGGGUUGUAAGCUCUUUUGUCCGGAAGAAAGCAUCGGUUAAUACCCGGUUGUUCUGACGGUACCGGAAGAAUAAGCACCGGCUAACUUCGUGCCAGC